GCAGUCGACGAGCUUCCGUUGAUGACGUGCUUGCACUGAUUUCAACAAUGAAGCGAGUGGCGAACUGGUGAGUAACACGUGGGGAAUCUGCCCAGAAGCAGGGGAUAACACUUGGAAACAGGUGCUAAUACCGUAUAACAACAAAAUCCGCAUGGAUUUUGUUUGAAAGGUGGCUUCGGCUAUCACUUCUGGAUGAUCCCGCGGCGUAUUAGUUAGUUGGUGAGGUAAAGGCCCACCAAGACGAUGAUACGUAGCCGACCUGAGAGGGUAAUCGGCCACAUUGGGACUGAGACACGGCCCAAACUCCUACGGGAGGCAGCAGUAGGGAAUCUUCCACAAUGGACGAAAGUCUGAUGGAGCAAUGCCGCGUGAGUGAAGAAGGGUUUCGGCUCGUAAAACUCUGUUGUUAAAGAAGAACACCUUUGAGAGUAACUGUUCAAGGGUUGACGGUAUUUAACCAGAAAGCCACGGCUAACUACGUGCCAGCAGCCGCGGUAAUACGUAGGUGGCAAGCGUUGUCCGGAUUUAUUGGGCGUAAAGCGAGCGCAGGCGGUUUUUUAAGUCUGAUGUGAAAGCCUUCGGCUUAACCGGAGAAGUGCAUCGGAAACUGGGAGACUUGAGUGCAGAAGAGGACAGUGGAACUCCAUGUGUAGCGGUGGAAUGCGUAGAUAUAUGGAAGAACACCAGUGGCGAAAGGCGGCUGUCUAGUCUGUAACUGACGCUGAGGCUCGAAAGCAUGGGUAGCGAACAGGAUUAGAUACCCUGGUAGUCCAUGCCGUAACGAUGAGUGCUAAGUGUUGAGGGUUUCGGCCCUUCAGUGCUGCAGCUAACGCAUUAGCACUCCGCUGUGAGUACGACGCAGUGAACUCAAGAUGACGGGGGCC
This 884-nucleotide ribosomal RNA is filed under the name Levilactobacillus brevis. RNAcentral's name for it is "bacterial SSU rRNA". It matches the Rfam family "Bacterial small subunit ribosomal RNA", at positions 35 to 921 of the family's 1533-position model. Lineage: Bacteria; Bacillati; Bacillota; Bacilli; Lactobacillales; Lactobacillaceae. The record is from RNAcentral.